GAACGAAGCACUUUAUUGGAUUUUCUUCGGAGAUGAAGAUGUUGUGACUGAGUGGCGGACGGGUGAGUAACGCGUGGGCAACCUGCCCUGUACCGGGGGAUAACAGCCGGAAACGGCUGCUAAUACCGCAUAAGCGCACGAGAGCGCAUGCUUUUGUGUGAAAAACUCCGGUGGUACGGGAUGGGCCCGCGUCUGAUUAGCUUGUUGGCGGGGUAGAAGCCCACCAAGGCGACGAUCAGUAGCCGACCUGAGAGGGUGACCGGCCACAUUGGGACUGAGACACGGCCCAAACUCCUACGGGAGGCAGCAGUGGGGAAUAUUGCACAAUGGGGGGAACCCUGAUGCAGCGACGCCGCGUGAGUGAGGAAGUAUUUCGGUAUGUAAAGCUCUAUCAGCAGGGAAGAAAAAAUGACGGUACCUGACUAAGAAGCACCGGCUAAAUACGUGCCAGCAGCCGCGGUAAUACGUAUGGUGCAAGCGUUAUCCGGAUUUACUGGGUGUAAAGGGAGCGCAGGCGGUACGGCAAGUCUGAUGUGAAAGCCCGGGGCUCAACCCCGGUACUGCAUUGGAAACUACCGGACUGGAGCGUCGGAGGGGUAAGUGGAAUUCCUAGUGUAGCGGUGAAAUGCG
Molecule: ribosomal RNA, 630 nt
Filed under: uncultured bacterium
Lineage: Bacteria
Description: bacterial SSU rRNA
Rfam family: Bacterial small subunit ribosomal RNA
Source: RNAcentral